CGGGGUGCGUAAUGCGUAGGAAUCUGCCUAGUAUGGGGGACAACUUGGGGAAACUCAAGCAAUACCGCAUACGCCCUACGGGGGAAAAACGGGGGGAUCUUUUGACCUCGUGCUAUUAGAUGAGCCUACGUUAGAUUAGCUUGUUGGUGAGGUAAUGGCUCACCAAGGCGACGAUCUAUAGCUGGUCUGAGAGGAUGAUCAGCCACACUGGGACUGAGACACGGCCCAG
This 229-nucleotide ribosomal RNA is filed under the name uncultured bacterium. RNAcentral's name for it is "partial 16S ribosomal RNA". It matches the Rfam family "Bacterial small subunit ribosomal RNA", at positions 104 to 334 of the family's 1533-position model. The record is from RNAcentral.